CUAAUCUCAAGUACCCAGGGACACAAACACUGCGGAAGGUCGCAGGGUCCUCUGCCUAGGAAAACCAGAGACCUUCGUUCACUUGUUUAUCUGCUGACCUUCCCUCCACUAUUGUCCUGUGACCCUGCCAAAUCCCCCUCUGCGAGAAACACCCAAGAAUGAUCAAUAAAAAAAAAAAAAAAAGAAAAGAAAACACAAAGAAAUGAGAAGGUGUGGAUGGUAAACUGAUGGGAAAAUAUAUACAACUUUUUUUCUGGUAUUUUAUAUUUCUUUAAAAGAUAACUGUAUGAAGGAAAGAAAGUAUAUCUGGAGGUUAUAAAAUAUGUAAAGGUAAAAUAUAUCAUGAUGAUGAUGGCACAAGAAUCAGGAUAAGAAAAACAGAAAUGCAUUAUUGUAAGGUCAUCACUUAAAGACAUACUAUACACCCUAAAGCAACCUCUCCCAAAAGUUGUAGACAAUAAGCUAACAAAGAAGAUACAGUAGAAUCGUUUAAAAAUAUUCAAUCCUAAAGAGGCAAGAGAGAGGAAAAAAGAAAACAAAAAUUGAGACAAAUGGGCCGGGCACGGUGGCUCACAUCUGAAAUCCCAGCACUUUGGGAGGCACGUGGAUCACUUGAGGUCAGGAGUUCAAGACCAGCCUGGCCAACAUGGCGAAACUCCCAUCUCUACUAAAAACACACAAAAAAAUUAGCCAGGCGCAGUGGCUCACACCUGUAAUCCCAGCACUUUGGGAGGCCGACAUGGGUGGAUCACCUGAGAUUAGGAGUUCAAGACCAGCCUGGCCAACAUGGUGAAACCCCAUCUCUACUAAAAAUACAAAAACAAUUAGCUGGGCAUGGUGGCAGGCGCCUGUAAUCCCAGCUACUCAGGAGACUGAGGCAUGAAAAUCAUUUGAACCCAGGAGGCGGAGGUUGCAGUGAGACAACAUUGUACCUCUGCACUCCAGCCUGAGAAACAGAGUGAGACUCUGUCUCAAAAAAACAAAAGUGGUGGCUAUAUUAAUAUCAGACAAGAAAGAUUUCAGAGCAGAGAAUAUUCUGAAGGAUAAAAAAAGAUCAUUUCCUAAUGAUAAAGGCAUCAAAUCAUCAAGAGGACAUAACAAUCUCCUGAGCGUUUCUGUACCUAACAGCAGAGCUUCGAAAUACACGAAGCCAAAACUGACUGAACAGCAAGAAGAAACAGAAAUUCAGUUACAGUGGGAAAUUUCAGUGCCCCUCUCACAAUAAUUGGUAGUACAAAUAGAAAAUUACCAAAGUAGAAAUAAAAAAAUAAACAUCGAAUGGAAAUCAAUGACAUAAAAAACAAAGACAACAGAAAGUCAAUGAAACCAGAAGCUGAUUCUUUGGGAAAAAUCAAUAAAAUUAAUAAGCCUCUAGCCAGACUGUUCUCUUCAACCUGAUAAAGGGCAUCUAAGAAACACCCAUACCUAAUACUGCACUCAAUGGUAAGAGACUAAAAGCUUCCUACCUUAGAUCAGGAACAAAAAAAGAUGUCUGUUCUCACCACAUCUCAAAUACUAAAAAAACCUGUCAAUUGUAUUGAAGACUGUAGCCAGUGCAAUAAAGCAAGAAAACAAAAUAUGGCAUCUGGACUGGAAAAGAAAAAGUAAGAUGAUCUUUAUUUGCAAAUGACAUAAUUGUCUAGGUAAAAAAUCUAACUGGAAUCUACAAAGAGCUAAUAGAAUGAAUAAAUGAGUUUAGCAGGGUUACAAGAUACAAGAUCAAUAUACAAAAAUCAAUUCUACUUCUGUAUACUAGCAAUGAAAAAUCAAAAGUGAACAUAAAAACAAUACCAUUUACAAUAGUAUCAAAAAUAGCGAAGAGUUAAUAGAGGGAAUGACAUCACCAAAUAGAGAAGUAGAAGCAAUCUGGCUUCCCUCACCCUCUCAAAGAAAACCAAAACCAAACAUCCAGUGCCAAGAAUAUCACCAGCAAUAUUCCAGAACUCAAAUCUGAGGAUGAGACCAGAGAAGUGAAAAAAACUCCAGGCAGAAAGUAAGCUGCAAAAAACCUCUAAGCAAACAUCCAAGAAAAAAAAAGCCAGACAGGAAAGCCUGGAUAACAAAUCCUUCAAUGCAAAACCACAGACAUAUGUGCACAAGAAACAACAGCUAACGGAAAACCGCGACCUUCUCAAACAGACAAAGCAAAGAGCCAGUGGCCAACCCUAAUGAGAUGGCAACGUGUAAGCGCUCAAAUCAAGAAUUCAAGGUAACAGUUAAAAAAAAACUCAGCAAACUCCAAUAAAACACAGAAAAACAACUCACAAAUUUG
RNAcentral lists this long non-coding RNA (2272 nucleotides) under Homo sapiens (human). Its description in RNAcentral is "HSALNT0170643". Lineage: Eukaryota; Metazoa; Chordata; Mammalia; Primates; Hominidae. The record is from RNAcentral.